GGGAGUACGGCCGCAAGGUUGAAACUCAAAGGAAUUGACGGGGGCCCGCACAAGCGGAGGAACAUGUGGUUUAAUUCGAUGAUACGCGAGGAACCUUACCCGGGCUCGAACGGCAGCUGAAUAUUCCAGAGAUGGGAUAGUCUUCGGACAGUUGUCGAGGUGCUGCAUGGUUGUCGUCAGCUCGUGCUGUGAAGUGUCGGCUUAAGUGCCAUAACGAGCGCAACCCUUGCCUUCAGUUGCCAUCAGGUUAAGCUGGGGACUCUGGAGGGACUGCCACCGCAAGGUGCGAGGAAGGGGGGGAUGACGUCAAAUCAGCACGGCCCUUACGUCCGGGGCGACACACGUGUUACAAUGGCAGGUACAGAGGGGUGCUACCGGGCGACCGGAUGCCGAUCUCGAAAACCUGUCCCAGUUCGGACUGGAGUCUGCAACCCGACUCCACGAAGUUGGAUUCGCUAGUAAUCGCGCAUCAGCCAUGGCGCGGUGAAUACGUUCCCGGGCCUUGUACACACCGCCCGUCAAGCCAUGGGAGCCGGGGGCGCCUGAAGUCCGGGACCGCGAGGACCGGCCUAGGGCGAAACUGGUGACUGGGGCUAAGUCGUAACAAGGUAACCGU
This 616-nucleotide ribosomal RNA is filed under the name uncultured bacterium. RNAcentral's name for it is "bacterial SSU rRNA". It matches the Rfam family "Bacterial small subunit ribosomal RNA", at positions 876 to 1503 of the family's 1533-position model. The record is from RNAcentral.